Molecule: transfer RNA, 63 nt
Filed under: Oligodon ocellatus
Lineage: Eukaryota; Metazoa; Chordata; Lepidosauria; Squamata; Colubridae
Also listed under: 1 other name
Description: tRNA-Val
Rfam family: tRNA
About the family: Transfer RNA (tRNA) molecules are approximately 80 nucleotides in length. Their secondary structure includes four short double-helical elements and three loops (D, anti-codon, and T loops).
Source: RNAcentral
AAAGUAGCUUACAAAAGCAUUUGGCCUACAACCAAAAGACAUUAUACAACCUAAUCUUUUUGA